This 617-nucleotide long non-coding RNA is filed under the name Salmo salar (Atlantic salmon). RNAcentral describes it as "lncRNA (ENSSSAG00000103954.1)". Lineage: Eukaryota; Metazoa; Chordata; Actinopteri; Salmoniformes; Salmonidae. The record is from RNAcentral.
AGUAGAGAGGCUAUAUACAGUAGAGAGGCUAUAUACAGUAGAGAGGCUAUAUACAGUAGAGAGGCUAUAUACAGUAGAGAGGUUAUAUACAGUAGAGAGGCUAUAUACAGUAGAGAGGCUAUAUACAGUAGAGAGGCUAUAUACAGUAGAGAGGCUAUAUACAGUAGAGAGGCUAUAUACAGUAGUGAGGCUAUAUACAGUAGAGAGGCUAUAUACAGUAGAGAGGUUAUAUACAGUAGAGAGGCUAUAUACAGUAGAGAGGCUAUAUACAGUAGAGAGGCUAUAUACAGUAGAGAGGUUAUAUACAGUAGAGAGGCUAUAUACAGUAGAGAGGUUAUAUACAGUAGAGAGGCUAUAUACAGUAGAGAGGCUAUAUACAGUAGAGAGGCUAUAUACAGUAGAGAGGCUAUAUACAGUAGAGAGGUUAUAUACAGUAGAGAGGCUAUAUACAGUAGAGAGGCUAUAUACAGUAGAGAGGCUAUAUACAGUAGAGAGGCUAUAUACAGUAGUGAGGCUAUAUACAGUAGAGAGGUUAUAUACAGUAGAGAGGCUAUAUACAGUAGAGAGGCUAUAUACAGUAGAGAGGUUAUAUACAGUAGAGAGGUUAUAUACAGUAG